Molecule: long non-coding RNA, 668 nt
Filed under: Homo sapiens (human)
Lineage: Eukaryota; Metazoa; Chordata; Mammalia; Primates; Hominidae
Description: non-protein coding ATP1A1-AS1:4
Source: RNAcentral
CCCACCUGAGCGGCGCAUCCUCAGGGCCUGGGCCUGGCCUCCUUGCCUGUGAGAUGGCACUGUGACGGUGCCCACCUCGUGGGGUGUGUGAGGGCCGAGUGAAAUCGUGCAUUUGCGGUCUGAAAUGCAGAAGACAGAAGAUGAGCUCUGGCUCUUCACCUGCAUGGCUGGUGGCAGUGUGGCCUCAGUCUUCUGGGGCUUGAGGAGCUCUGACACUGGUCAGGUCAGAGGUGCCCACUCACCCACUGCUGCCCGUAGCUGUCUUCCACAUCGUUGAUCCAGCGGUCAUCCCAGUCCACUCGGAGGCCCAACAGGUGAAUUGGGAGGAAGCCGUUCUCAGCCAGAAUCACAAAGUGAAGUAUACAAAAAUAAAGAUUCCCAUCUGAUAAACAAAUGUUAACUGCUGCCUUGAAGAGUGGUAAUACUGAUUCUGUGAAGCCGGGAUUGGGACACACACUGGAUACUGGUCCUGAGAAUUUCUUUUCCCAACGCCAGCCUCAUGGAUGCUGGGAGCAUAGUGCCAGUGAAUGAAGACACAGCUCACACCUCACUACUAUCGAUCUGUGACUGUUGUGACACUCACCAUGUCAGUGCCCAAGUCAAUGCAGAGGAUGGUGACAGUCCCCAGUGGUAGUGGAAUGUUUGCAAUAAUAAAUAUCAGGAACGGG